UACGUAGGGUGCGAGCGUUGUCCGGAAUUACUGGGCGUAAAGAGCUCGUAGGUGGUUUGUCGCGUUGUUCGUGAAAACUCACAGCUCAACUGUGGGUGUGCGGGCGAUACGGGCAGACUGGAGUACUGCAGGGGAGACUGGAAUUCCUGGUGUAGCGGUGGAAUGCGCAGAUAUCAGGAGGAACACCGGUGGCGAAGGCGGGUCUCUGGGCAGUAACUGACGCUGAGGAGCGAAAGCGUGGGGAGCGAACAGG
This 253-nucleotide ribosomal RNA is filed under the name uncultured bacterium. RNAcentral's name for it is "partial 16S ribosomal RNA". It matches the Rfam family "Bacterial small subunit ribosomal RNA", at positions 524 to 776 of the family's 1533-position model. The record is from RNAcentral.